RNAcentral lists this ribosomal RNA (292 nucleotides) under uncultured bacterium. Its description in RNAcentral is "partial 16S ribosomal RNA". It matches the Rfam family "Bacterial small subunit ribosomal RNA", at positions 505 to 796 of the family's 1533-position model. The record is from RNAcentral.
GUGUCAGCCGCCGCGGUAAUACGUAGGGUGCGAGCGUUAAUCGGAAUUACUGGGCGUAAAGCGUGCGCAGGCGGUUCGCUAAGACAGGUGUGAAAUCCCCGGGCUUAACCUGGGAAUGGCGCUUGUGACUGGCGGGCUGGAGUACGGCAGAGGGAGGUGGAAUUCCACGUGUAGCAGUGAAAUGCGUAGAGAUGUGGAGGAACACCGAUGGCGAAGGCAGCCUCCUGGGCCAGUACUGACGCUCAUGCACGAAAGCGUGGGGAGCAAACAGGAUUAGAUACCCCCGUAGUCC